This 45-nucleotide non-coding RNA is filed under the name Schistosoma mattheei. Lineage: Eukaryota; Metazoa; Platyhelminthes; Trematoda; Strigeidida; Schistosomatidae. The record is from RNAcentral.
AUCCGGCUGACGAGUCUCAAAUAGGACGAAACGCCCGACAUGGAU